CUCCCCAAAAUUUUCCCAAAAUCCCCGGGAGUUGGGAGGGGGAGGAGUUGGGGUUCCCAUGGGUGCGGGAAGGACCCCAGGUGGGACCCCGGUGUGCCCAGGUGACCCCACUGACCCCCAGGUAACCCCAGGUGUGUCCAGGUGCCCCAGGUGUGCCCCCAGAUGCCCCCAGGUGUGCCCCCAUGCUCCCCCAGGUGCCCCCACGCUCCCCCAGGUGUGCCCAGGUACCCCAGGUGUGCCCCCAGGUGUGCCCAGGUGUCCCCCAUGCUCCCCCAGGUGUGCCCCCACGUGCCCCCGUUGUCCCGCAGGUCUGGCCAGCUGGGCCAUCGUCAUCCUCGCCGAUCCCGUGGGACGGUGGCAGCGCCGAGAGCCCUGAGGGGACCCCAAUAAAGCCCCGGGACCCCCAAAGUGCCCUGGGUGGGGCACGGGACAGGACGGA
Long non-coding RNA from Serinus canaria (Common canary), 439 nucleotides. RefSeq lists it as uncharacterized. The record is from RefSeq and is a predicted model, not a curated record. The transcript has 2 exons. NCBI's taxonomy places the organism in Eukaryota, Metazoa, Chordata, Aves, Passeriformes, Fringillidae.